RNAcentral lists this transfer RNA (71 nucleotides) under Marmota marmota marmota (Alpine marmot). It matches the Rfam family "tRNA". From Rfam's summary of the family: Transfer RNA (tRNA) molecules are approximately 80 nucleotides in length. Their secondary structure includes four short double-helical elements and three loops (D, anti-codon, and T loops). Lineage: Eukaryota; Metazoa; Chordata; Mammalia; Rodentia; Sciuridae. The record is from Rfam by way of RNAcentral. RNAcentral also lists the same sequence under 1 other name.
GGGGUUGUGGCUCAGUGGUAGAGUGCUUGCCUAGCAUGCAUGAGGCACUGGGUUCAAUUCUCAGCACCCCA